CGAUCGUAAAUUGAGUGUGUUAAUUUGCGUUGUUUAAGUGUGGGAAGGGACGAGACACUAAAAAAAUGUGCACCAAUUUUUUAAAUUCAAUUUGGAAGAAAAGAAAUCAAUUUGUAAUGUUUGCGGAACCAAACUUAACACAAUAACCAAUAACCACAAAUUUAAGACGCCACUUAACAAUGAAGCAUAUGGACAUUUUCAAUGAGUGAAAUAAUUCUGGAUCUACAAAGUUAAAAGAAUGCGAAGAAAAACGAAAAAUAUCGUAUCAAACGAGUGAACGAGCAAUUGUUUCUUCUUUGAUCAAAAUUGUAACCACAAACGGAAAACCAUUCAAAUUUCUAGACAGUGAAGGGUUCAACGAGAUAAUGUAUCCAAUAUAUAAUGCCCUUGGCAUGAACCCUGUUACGUCUAGAAAUAUUAUGAAUUUUGUGUCAACCAAAGAACAGUUUGUAAAAGAAAAUAUAAGGGCACUUGCGAAAGGAAAGCUGGUGUCGCUGAAAAUCGACGUUGCCAGCAGAAUGAAUAAAGCCUAAAACCGAGAUUGUUGUGAAGACCUUGGGCAUGAUUGAUCUCGGGGAAUCUCACACUGGAAUAUAUAUAAAAAUCAAAAUUCUACAAAUCUUAGAUGAUUAUGGCUUGAUCAGAUUUACAGCAUUACGUCUGAUAAUGGACGAAACAUGAUAAAAGCCGUCCAGGUAUUAAAUGAUGCGACAGAGGAAUCCCUUUUUGAAGAAGACAUAGAAAGCGAGAAUCUUCUGAAAGAAUUGGGUUCUAUUGAACUGGCUAAUAUACACCUUGUGACAUGUGCAGCAAACACUCUGCAACUUGAGUAUUUGAUGUAAACAAAACAAAGGAGAUCGCCGAUAAAAUAAGUGCCUGUCGCACAUUAUGCAAAUCGCUGCGCACAGAAACAUAUAGUUGAGAAUGAAAAAAACAUACCAUCGCUCGAAGUUGCUACAAGGUUGAAUACGACGUAUUUAAUGCUAAAGAAAUUAUUGGACUUAAAGGAUUUCCUGGCAACGCAACCAAAUAUUUGUAUAGAGGCCGAUUGGGAUUGGAUCGAGACGUACAUUGACGCUUUCAGUGACACAUACCAGGCACACACACGAAAUGUUCCAGCGCUCGAGACUCCUGUGCAUGAAGAAAUGUUUGCUUCCACUGUCUCGUCAAUUCUAUCAACCGCAUUCUCAUCUGAAGAGAAGUCGCUGUUGUCGGCAUUUUUGUACGAUUUUAAGACAGUUUCAGAAAACAAAGAAGAUCCAGUUUCUACGAAACCUGCCAAAAUUUAUGCUGACAUCGAAAACUUCGACGUAAAAUUUGGUCGCUUGCCAUUAAAUUCCAAUAUAUUGGAUUUUUUUAAUGAUUUGAAACUUAGGAUGCCGCAUAUAGGUGCACUAGCGCAGGUUAUGCUGGCUACACCUGCAACGCAAGUCUCCGCCGAACGGGCAUUUUCAGCCCUACAUUUUAUAUUAAGUGAACGAAGAAGUUCGAUUAGUGCAAAAAAACUAAACUCCUUACUAGUUGUAAAGCUUAACACAUAAAUAUA
Molecule: long non-coding RNA, 1546 nt
Organism: Drosophila biarmipes
Lineage: Eukaryota; Metazoa; Arthropoda; Insecta; Diptera; Drosophilidae
Exons: 4
Source: RefSeq, a predicted model, not a curated record